Molecule: long non-coding RNA, 261 nt
Filed under: Brassica napus (rape)
Lineage: Eukaryota; Viridiplantae; Streptophyta; Magnoliopsida; Brassicales; Brassicaceae
Description: long non-coding RNA (BNAP_LNC024226)
Source: RNAcentral
GCGCCUUGGCUGGUUGAGUAGGGCUUUGGGUUGACCUCCGGUUCAGUUGCUGAUCUGAUGACCACAUCAUCCCCUCCCUCUUGACAAGGUUUCGACCUCGAAACUGUAUAAUCUGCACCAAGAUAGAGCAAGUCAGCUUUCAUUCUCUUUUGAGAUUCUAAAGCCUUACCUUGGUAUUGUUUUGGUUUUGCUUCUUUAAGCAAUAUGGACUGCAUUGUCUCUUGAACAAUCUUCUGGUCCAUCACAAGAGUCACGCCUGGU